GACGAACGCUGGCGGCAUGCUUAACACAUGCGAGUCGGACGGGAAACACGGGAUACUGUGUUUUCCGCGGCGGACGGGCGAGUAACGCGCACGAACGUGCCCUUGCGUGGGGAAUAAGAUCACGUCACGGCUGCUAAUAUACUGCCGGCUAAGGGGUCCAACUAGGGGUUCGCCCGAGGAGGGGUUCGCGUCUGAUUAGCUGGCUGGCGAGGCAUCAGCUUAUUAAUGCGAUGAUCAGUAGCCCGUACGUGGGGAUGGGCAGCCACGCUGAGAGUGAGACGCGGCCAAGACUCCUGCGGGAGGCAGCGGGGGAGAAUGUUCCGCAGGGGGCGAAAGCCUGACGGAACAAUGCCGCGUGGAGGUAGGAGGCCCGGGGGUCGUGAACUUCUUUUCCCGGAGAAGAAGCAAUGACGGUAACUGGGGAAUAAGCAUCGGCUAACUCUGUG
Molecule: ribosomal RNA, 446 nt
Filed under: uncultured bacterium
Lineage: Bacteria
Description: partial 16S ribosomal RNA
Rfam family: Bacterial small subunit ribosomal RNA
Source: RNAcentral